GCAACCGCAACUUGAACUUCACAGACGGUUUGGAACCGCUUGUUUCGUUCAAAAUUCAGGGCAACAAAUUAAAAAGGUCGUGGUUAAGAUAAUAUGUCGCAAACAUUGCAGGCUUAUUUUGUAAGGACGUGCGCUAGCGAAGUAUUGAAUGAACUCAGUCUUAGACGCCACUCAAUGUAAUUUGAGAAAGAGGUUGUCCUCGCAGUGGUAGCGACGGCAUUCGAAUUUUUCUUAGUCUCUGAGCGCAACGUCGUCUGCCACAACGUCGUCUGCCACGCAUCGUCGAGGUUCCUGCUCAAGCUCUUCCUGUCAGCUAAAUUGUUAAUAUUAUUAAAAUGUAAGCUAAAUUGUUAAUGAUUAAAAUGUAACGGACAUCGAAGGUGAGCGCUGCGACGUUUUGUUUCUUUGACCCGAUUUCUUAAGUGUCAUUUAGCAUCGGGUUAGUAUAGCCUUUAAAUUCAGUUAAAAUGUUUUUACUGUAUUUUGUAUUCGUGGAAAAUCUGUCUUUAUUCAAAAAUAAGUUUUGUUGUUGUUGUUGUUUCUGCGCGCGAGCUGCUUGAAAGUUUUGCAAGUGCUCAGAUUGGUUUCUGGUUGUCGCUGCAGUGAAGUUCCAGUGAUAGUCCAUUAGUGUCAACUUUCUUGUGCGGUGUGUAUACUUUCUUUUCAGGCGGAAAUUUUGUGACCAAGGGAUGAAAUUGCAGCGUUUAUCCACAACUAUAAGAGCCAGUGACACCGAAGGUGACAUAUCGGCAGUUUAUUUUCCGCCCAGUCAUCUAAAACCUCAGCUGCCAACUAGUUGACUGGAGCUGGGACGGAGCCGCCCAACCGCCACGUUUCCGGUGCCGAACUCACCUUUGACAGUGUUUCACAAUGUGUCCCUUGCAAUAGGUUGUCACGGCACAUAAUGGCGGGGCACUUGAAGUGCCGUCCUAAAGGCGUCCAAAAGGAGUCGCUGGUUGCAACGAGAUGCAGUUGAGAGUGCCACGGAUGCUUUCUUUAACGGAACGGGCUGAGAGCACGCACCCUGUGCUCUUUUUCACUUGAAAGGGAUGGUGAACCGAAAUUAGGAUUUCGGGAAACAAUGCAGGAGCUGUAGGCAGGACGCUACAAUCCCUACAACACUACUCGUAAGGCGAUAUCUCGAAUGGACGGCCAUACUUUUGGAAAAAAAAGGUUGAGAUUGAACGAGGCUGACGAGGCGCGUGGCGUCAAGAUAUCUUGUUUCCUCCUCUCUUCGUUUCGCCCCCUCGAGGCGGUGAAGACGCAAGGUCGUUCCCUCCCCUUCCCGGAGAAACAAGACGUAAACAUAUCUGUCAAAUGCGCCUCCUUUUUUUAAAAACUACGGUCAUCCGUUCGAUAUAUCGUUGCAUGAGUGAUGUUUUGAUGUUUGUAGCAUCCCGUUGCAUGCUUUUACCACCGUGCUUUGUGGAGUCCAGAUUUCGGUUCAGCAUCCCUUUCAGUCUGACCGUAUCCGACACUAUCAUCCAAUGGAGCCAGUCAAACAGUGCACCGUCGCGGCGCUCGUCGCCUUCGUGCAUUUGCCAUCGCCAACUCAACCAAUUGCACACGACGAAUGUGCCGCAAUCCUGUGCUUUUUUUAAUGCACAAUUGGUUUGGCCAGCGGCAGCAUACUUACAGAGACGACGAGCGCCGUGACGACGCACUUUUGGCGCUGCUUGAAUGGCUCCGUCGACUGAAACAAAGUAUGGCUUUAUUUCUUCCAAGCGUCUCGUGCCACCUGCGUAGCUCACAAAAAAUAUCCACAAAUUGCACCUCGUGCCACACUCCUACCAUUAGCUUUCGAGGCGCUUGGAUACCGACGGUAUUUCCUUUGCAGACGUUGCCGACGCCACCUUGCUGCUGCAGCCCAGCAUCGAACGCCGAAGGUCGAAGCCCAGGCGUGCCUCGGAAUGUGCACGUAAAGCCCAAACAUGGACAUGUCUCACUUAGACGCCGCAUUCCCUUGGACGACGGGUCGGCGGAGAGGUCACCAGCCACCGGGCGGCUGCCCCUGCCACCGCCAGACCGCGCCCGCCACAGCUGCACCUUCUGCGCGUACACGACGGCCUACCGCACCAACCUGCUGACCCACGAGCGCACGCACACUGGGGAGCGACCUUAUCAGUGCCCCCUCUGCCCCAAGGCCUUCGCACAGAACACCACACUCGUGCGGCAUGUGCAGACGCACACGCGCCACGAUGCCAAGGGGGUUCCCGGGAACGACCUCCCGAGCCGCGCCCAGACCUACUACCCGCACUGAACGGAGCCACGGAACGAGCGACGCUUUGAGGCCAGUUUACACGUUUGCGUUUGAGUGCAACCACGGUGUAAGAUGUGUGUAGGUGUGAACACUGCACAUCCUCCUCUUGCCUUGGUUGCAACCGGUACUAUCAGAAGGCGCCUCUUAGAUAAUCAGUUAGAUGGUUGCCUGUCGUGGGCCCGGUUUCCCAAACUUCUCUACGAGAAACGCGCUCGUUUUUAAAGUUGUUUUCCGGGUGUACCGCAUGAUAUAGAGCUCGGCACUUGCACCACGCGUGUCGCUUAGACACAGCUUCGUCAUUGACGCUUGCCUCAACGGCAGCAAGAACAGUUUUACGAACGCAACGAAGCGGAGAGACUUCUGGCACGGCGGUCAAGCUUGCGUCCGUCGAAGUCAGAGCAAACGCGCCGUGCAAAACGCACACGCGCAAAAAUGUUGUAACAAUGAGGCUUUUUUUUUUUUGCUUUUUUUUUUGCUUUUUUUUCUUUAGUUGCAACAUCAAACCGGCAGAUACGCCACCAGAAUAGGUUGCUGGGGCAUGCAGGACUUUAUCUGGUCGAUCGCAUUGCAGCGUUCACUGUACUGCGUGCCCACACCUAUAUAUAUAUCUUGCAGCGUGGGUGUGACCGAAUGCGUCGUGACCGCUUGUAACCGCUCACAAGAGGAUACACUCUGCGAACACAGUGGUACACCGACGCCGUCUAUCAGCUACUCUUGGAACACUUCCGAUCCGCGUAUAACUCUACUCGACGUCCGCCAUUUUAUGCUACGUCGUCGGGGCUAGCGUGGCUUUCACGGUGCUCCAACGUUUUGAAACCUACUUGCACGAUCGAAUGCGAAAGGAACUCGCGUGCACGUGCUCCAAAAGCAGUGCGGGGCCUCCGUAACGUGGAAGCUACGUUGACAUCAACGAUGCAGCACAAUAGUCGACGCCGGGUACGGACCGGAGGUUCUGCGAUAUUGGCGACAUCAGAUCUACACACUGUCUAGGGGAAACGGUUGUUUAUAACAUCGUCGGAGUCAUCUCAACCCCACAGCGAAAAACCGGUGCAUAUUUGUAAAUUACGCAGCUAAGAAGCAAUUAUUUGAUAGAUGGCACCAGAGCAAUUAUUCAGUUGUAUUCAUUGAUAUAGUCGGUCACAGUCGGAUGUAAACGCGUGAACCAGCCUUGAGAGUAGCGACGCUUCGGCAAUCUCGAAAUCGUUGUUACCAGUUAUUCGCAGUUGUAAUCUGAAAUCGCAAGAAAUGCUUUUCUGUCUUUCGGAAAUGUUGGGGCAGUCUAUGACCGAGGAGAACGAUAUUGCCCGAGCUCCCAGAAACUUUUAUCUGAAGCUCGGGAGGUCACAGUUUUUAAUCGUAACUAGCGCCAGUAGACCCUUUUCAUAACGCCGUUGAGCAACAUUGACGGUCACCAUUUCUUCGGCAGGAAGCGUGCGAUUCGAUUCGAGUCCUCGCCAAUCGCUGACGCAACACUCAUUCUCGAUCUAAGCCGAGCCGCGUUCAUGCUGAAUGUUGACAUGGUCAUAGUGUCCAGUACGGCGGGCAAGUGUUCUAAAAUGCGUCUUUCACGCAUUGGAACGCGAAAAGGUGCAUUCGAAUCAAAGGGCAAAACAGAGGACACCCCCAUAGAUAACGCACAAUAACGAACCAGCGAAUUUCGUGCCAUUAUUGGUUGAAGCCGGGGGGGAAACAAACGCACGUGGAUGCAUUAGGGGGUAAACAAAUGCACAAGGUGCGCAAGAAGCAGACGAACUUGCAGGCCAUAUAGAAGCUCAAAGUACAAGGUGUUCCCAACAAAAGAGAACUAUGUUUUUCGGCCCGGGUAAGUGAACUACGCAUUGCAAAAAGCUCAAACUCCGUGAGAAUGUGACGAUAGCGGUUGGGAUAGAACAUGAAAGUUUGAGAACAUGAGGUUAGCUAGAUGAUGAGAUAAUUGGGAAUAACGAAAUUUCUCUUUGUGACCCGAUGCACUCCUAAGCCUAAUAUUGUCAACAAAAAAAAAACAAAAAAACUCGGGACGCUUAAUCUUUGCGUUUAAGGGUGGAACACGAUGGCAUUGUCAAGCCCUGUACGCAAAGCCUUCUCAUAUAAACCCGCGCUAGUUCCCAAGCGUGUGUGCGUCAUCUAGUGGGUAGUGUCACAUGACGUGACGUCACAUGCAACUGAUGUCAUAACCUUAUCAGCCCCGCUAAAUUUAGCAAAAACUUUUUGCUAAAUUUGCGGGAAAAUGUUUUGGUAAAUUUGGCAGGGAAAUUUUCCGCUAAAUUUGGCAAGAAAAUUUGUCACUAAAUUUAGUGGGCCAAUAAGGUCAUGGACGUCACUGCCACGUGCGACGUCUCACUUGGCUGCGUGCAUUGCAUUAUGGUACUUUUUGGUCCCACCGACGCAGGCGCCGGAUUAUCUGCAACACGAGCUCCUAAACGCUAUGGCAUAAAGCAAGAAAUGACAUUAUGGGCACCUGCGCAGCAUCCAUUUCAGUAAAAAAAAAGACUUGCCAGCACGAAAGGAAACAAGAUUUUUUUUCUUGUUAACAAGUGUUUCCCAAUUAUAUAAAUCCCACAAGCUUCCACAAUGUCGGUUCUUGUUUUGAUGAUGUUAAGCUUAGGUGAAGGUCGGUAUACAAGGUGUGUCAAAUAGCAGCCAGGCUCUUUAAAUCGACUAAAAAUAUUGGUUUCUUAACCCAUCUCGCUAUGAUUUUGUGCAGUGUUGCCCACAGGUGGUGCAUUUUUUUCUAUAAAAUUUGCAAAGAGUGAACUUACCUGAGAAAAAUAAAAAAGAAAAAGGCUUAACUCCUAUGAAAACGCUGCGAAGCCACCGGUUUUGAAACAAUAGGACGCCGUUUGGCACAAGAGACGAGAUGGCACAAGCGGUCGCGACGCUAACUGCCCUUACCGAACGAGCAUACAGCACCGAGAGCCGGCGUCAAAUAGCAGACGUCGGCUGCUUUGCAGUUCACGAUAAAGCGUAUGCUGCGAUUGCCUCUUCCCGAGUUCUCGCCGCAUACGUAACGUCUGCCGCUUUUGAGUCGAAAAGAUUGUCUGCUAAUGACGCCGGCUCUCGGCGUCGUAUGCUCAUUCGUUGGCGGUAGUUGGCGCCGCGACAGCUUGCGCCAUCUCAUUUCCCGUGCCAAAUGCCGCCCUAUUGUUUGAAGACCGGUGGCUUCUCUGCGCUUCCAUAGGGGUUAAGCCUUUUUCCUCAGGUAAGUCUGCUCUUUGCAAAUUUUAUAGAAAAAAUGCACCACCUGUGGGCAACGCUGAACAAAAUCGGUUAAGAAAACCGAUUUUUCGGUCUAUUUAAAUAGCCUGGCCACUGUUUGAGACACCCUGUAGAACAAUUUUGUUUUUCUUCAUUAUCUUUUGAUCCAGGUAAUGUCAUGUUCUCAAACUUUCGUGCUCUAUCCCAACCGCUAGCGUCGCAUUCUCGUGAAGUUUGAGCAUUUGUGUGAUGCAUAAUUCAUUUACCCGGGCCUAAAAACACAGUUCUUUUUUCUUGGGAACCCUCAGUAUAUGUGUCCAAACAAUGGCAGACCGAUAAUUGGUGCAGCAGCUACUAGAUGGCCAUCACUUCUGAGGAUUGCACCAGCUGACAAGAUGGUGGCACCCGCAAGACAAUCGGAGCGUGGAGUGUCGCUACUCUGAAGCAUAGCCUGUUUGGUGGCUCUACCGUUGAAGACUCUCAUCGUCCAUUUCCAAGAUCACCUAGACAUACAAUGCACAUUAAAGAAGGGAACAACUUCA
Ixodes scapularis (black-legged tick) is the source of this 5997-nucleotide long non-coding RNA. RefSeq lists it as uncharacterized. Lineage: Eukaryota; Metazoa; Arthropoda; Arachnida; Ixodida; Ixodidae. The transcript is spliced from 2 exons. The record is from RefSeq and is a predicted model, not a curated record.